GGAGUUGGUAGCUCAGUGGUAGAGUGCAUGCUUUGUGUGUAUGAUGUCUUGGGUCCAAUCGCCUGCUUCUCCC
Molecule: non-coding RNA, 73 nt
Organism: Dallia pectoralis (Alaska blackfish)
Lineage: Eukaryota; Metazoa; Chordata; Actinopteri; Esociformes; Umbridae
Source: the annotation of a GenBank genome assembly